CAGGACACCCAAUUAAAUUUAAAUUUCAGAUACACAACGAAUAAUGUUUUAGUAUAAGUAUGACUUCCAAUAUUUAGGACAUACUUAUACUAAAACAUUAUUCACUGUUUAUCUGAAUUCGAAUAUAACUGGAUGCCU
Molecule: microRNA precursor, 138 nt
Filed under: Myotis lucifugus (little brown bat)
Lineage: Eukaryota; Metazoa; Chordata; Mammalia; Chiroptera; Vespertilionidae
Description: miRNA (ENSMLUG00000030040.1)
Source: RNAcentral